UUACCCAUCCCGAUUCGGGGAGGUAGUGACGAAAAAUAACGAUCCAGGCUUCUUUACGAGGUUCUGUAAUCGGAAUGAGUACACUUUAAAUCCUUUAACGAGGAUCUACUGGAGGGCAAGUCUGGUGCCAGCAGCCGCGGUAAUUCCAGCUCCAGUAGCGUAUAUUAAAGCUGCUGCAGUUAAAAAGCUCGUAGUCGGAUCUCUGGCUUGGGCGAGCGGUCCGUCGCAAGGCGUGUACUGCUCGUGUCCCGGCCAGUCUACCGGUUAGCCGCGCGGUGCUCUUAACUGAGUGCCGUGCGCGGCCGGAACGUUUACUUUGAGAAAAUUGGAGUGUUCAAAGCAGGCACAACCGCCUGAACAGCUCAGCAUGGAAUAAUGGAAGAGGACCUCGGUUCUAUUUCGUUGGUCUCCGGAACGCGAGGUAAUGAUCAAAAGGGACAGACGGGGGCAUUCGUACUGCGGUGUGAGAGGUGAAAUUCUUGGAUCGCCGCAAGACGCCCAAAAGCGAAAGCAUUUGCCAAGAAUGUCUUCAUUGAUCAAGAACGAAAGUUGAGGGUUCGAAGGCGAUCAGAUACCGCCCUAGUCUUAACCAUAAACGAUGCCAACUUGCAACCCGCCGUAGUUCCUCCCAUGACACGGCGGGCAGCACCCGGGAAACCAAAGUGUUUGGGUUCCGGGGGAAGUAUGGUUGCAAAGCUGAAACUUAAAGGAAUUGACGGAAGGGCACCACCAGGAGUGGAGCCUGCGGCUUAAUUUGACUCAACACGGGAAAACUCACCCGGCCCGGACACAGUGAGGAUUGACAGAUUGACAGCUCUUUCUUGAUUCUGUGGGUGGUGGUGCAUGGCCGUUCUUAGUUGGUGGAGCGAUUUGUCUGGUUAAUUCCGAUAACGAACGAGACUCUGGCUUGCUAAAUAGUUUCCCUACCCGACGCGGUAAGGGAUGAAUGUACUUUCAUAGACGGGACGAGGUGACUCCCACCUCGCAAUGAGAAGCAGCA
RNAcentral lists this ribosomal RNA (1000 nucleotides) under Oestergrenia digitata. RNAcentral describes it as "SSU rRNA". It matches the Rfam family "Eukaryotic small subunit ribosomal RNA", at positions 441 to 1455 of the family's 1831-position model. The record is from RNAcentral. Lineage: Eukaryota; Metazoa; Echinodermata; Holothuroidea; Apodida; Synaptidae.